GGAGCAUCUUUAUCAAAUCUGCCUGCAUACCAAAUGCCUCCUUUACAACGGGCUGAAAUAGAAAGACAGGUUAAGGAAUUAUUGGAAAAAGGUCUGGUGCGUGAAAGUAAAAGUCCAUGUACCUGCCCAGCCUUAUUAACACCAAAGAAAGACGGUUCUUGGAGAAUGUGUGUAGAUAGUCGUGCUAUAAACAAGAUUAUAAUCAAAUAUCGCUUUCCAAUAACAAGAUUGGAGGAUAUGCUUGAUUAACUAGCAUGUUCUAAAGUGUUCUCCAAAAUUGACUUGAAAAGUGGAUAUCACCAAAUUAGAAUGAGGCAUGAUGAUGAAUGGAAAAUAGCUUUUAAGACACCGGAUGGGUUAUUUGAAUGGUUAGUAAUGCCAUUUGGCCUUUCUAAUGCACCAAACACAUGCAUGAGAGUCAUGACAGAUGUACUCAAACCUUUCUUGAAUUCUUUCAUUGUGGUAUAUUUCGAUGACAUUUUGAUUUAUAGCCGCAUAGAGGAAGAUCAUUUAAAAUACUUGCGACAAGUAUUAGAAGUACUUCGUCAAGAGAAGCUGCACAUAAAGCUAAAAAAAUGCAGUUUCCUGCAACCAGAAGUGGUAUUCCUGGGAUACAUUGUGUCCGCUGAAGGAUUAAAACCAGAUCCAGAAAAGGUUUGUGCAAUUACCGAAUGGCCAGCACCACAAUCCAUCAAAGAAGUUAGAAGCUUUCAUGGUUUGGCCUCUUUCCAUAGGAGAUUUAUCCAAAAUUUCAGUUCAAUUAUGAGUCCUAUAAUUGCAUAUCUGAAAGAAGAAAAGUUUGAGUGGACAAAUUCUGCACAAAAGGCAUUUGAAAGAAUCAAGUUUUUAAUGACUAGAGCACUUGUUCUUGCACUUCCAGAUUUUGAGAAAUUAUUUAUUGUCAAAUGUGAUGCUUCACAUGAAGGGAUUUGAGCUGUUCUUAGCCAAGAGGGCAGACCUCUUGAGUUUUUUAGUGAAAAGUUAUCUGAAGCUAAAAAGCGUUACUCAACUUAUGAUAUAGAGUUCUAUGCCUUGGUAAGAGCUAUUCGACAUUGGCAACAUUACUUAGCUUAUCGUGAGUUUAUGGUUUUUUCUGAUCAUCAGGCCUUGAGGUAUCUAAAAUCUCAGAAUAAACUCAACAAUCGACAUGCUAAGUGGAGUUCUUUCCUUGAUGAAUUUAAUUUCUCACUAAAGUAUAAAUCCCGUCAAUCUAAUAUUGUGGCUGAUGCAUUGAGUAGAAGAUCCCUAAUUUUGUCAAUUUUGACACUCAAAUUACUGGUUUUGAAGAACUGAAAAACCAGUAUGAUUCGGAUUCAUGUUUUGGCAAGAUAAAGGCUGAUUUACUGCAUUCUUCAGAAGCUGAAAGUCUGCCAUACCGAUUGCAAGAUGGUUAUUUAUUCAAAGGGAAUAAGCUAUGCAU
This is a non-coding RNA of Jatropha curcas, 1420 nucleotides long. Lineage: Eukaryota; Viridiplantae; Streptophyta; Magnoliopsida; Malpighiales; Euphorbiaceae. The record is from RefSeq and is a predicted model, not a curated record.